This 1073-nucleotide ribosomal RNA is filed under the name uncultured organism. Its description in RNAcentral is "bacterial SSU rRNA". It matches the Rfam family "Bacterial small subunit ribosomal RNA", at positions 307 to 1409 of the family's 1533-position model. The record is from RNAcentral.
CCCACAAUGGGACUGAAACACGGCCCAUACUCCUACGGGAGGCAGCAGCAGGGAAUAUUGCCACAAUAGGCGAAAGCCUGAUGCAGCGACGCCGCGUGAGUGAAGAAGGCCUUCGGGUCGUAAAGCUCUUUUGUACGGGAAGAGGAAGGACGGUACCCUAAGAAGAAGCGUCGGCUAACUACGUGCCAGCAGCCGCGGUAAGACGUAGGACGCGAGCGUUAUCCGGAAUUACUGGGCGUAAAGGGCCAGCAGGCGGCUUGGUAAGUUGUGCGUGAAAGCCUCGUGCUCAACGCGAGGAAGCCGGACAAUACUGUCAAACUAGAGGGCAUCAGAGGGGAGUGGAAUUCCCGGAGUAGCGGUAAAAUGCGCAGAUAUCGGGAGGAACACCGAUGGCGAAGGCAGCUCCCUGGGAUGCACCUGACGCUAAGAGGCGAAAGCUAGGGGAGCGAACAGGAUUAGAGACCCUGGUAGUCCUAGCUGUAAACGCUGGGUGCUAGGUGUGGGACGUAGAAGUUCCGUGCCGGAGCAAACGCGAUAAGCACCCCGCCUGGGAAUUACGCGUCGCAAGGCUAAAACUCAAACGAAUUGACGGGGCCCCGCACAAGCAGCGGAGCGUGUGGUUCAAUUCGAUGCUACACGAAGAACCUUACCUGGGUUUGACAUGUACGUGGUACGAAGGCGAAAGCCUAAGGACCCUUCGGGGAGCGUACACAGGUGCUGCAUGGCUGUCGUCAGCUCGUGCCGUGAGGUGUCGGGUUAAGUCCCGUAACGAGCGCAACCCUUGCCCUUAGUUACAAGUGUCUAAGGGGACUGCCGGCGGGAAGCCGGAGGAAGGUGGGGAUGACGUCAAGUCAGCAUGGCCCUUAUGUCCAGGGCUACACACACGCUACAAUGGUCAGUACAAAGGGUAGCGAAGUCGCGAGGCGGAGCGAAUCUCAACAAAGCUGAUCGUAGUUCGGAUUGCAGGCUGCAACCCGCAUGCAUGAAGCUGGAGUUGCUAGUAACCGCGCGUCAGCCAUAGUGCGGUGCAUACGUACCCGGGGCUUGUACACACCGCCCGUCACGUCAUGGGA